This 202-nucleotide long non-coding RNA is filed under the name Mytilus galloprovincialis (Mediterranean mussel). Lineage: Eukaryota; Metazoa; Mollusca; Bivalvia; Mytilida; Mytilidae. The record is from RNAcentral.
ACGGCAUAUAUGUUCAAAGGUUUGAAACUACGAUCGCGUUCCCCUUUGUUUGGGAAUGUGACCUACCAAAUAACACUCAACACGUGUGUUGUACUUGCAUAAAAACAAGACAGGUGCAACAUGUGGAGCAGAAUGUGAUUUCCCUUUAAGAGCACCUGCGAUCAGCAACCGGAAAUCUAGUUGUUCAUUCCUUAGUUUUGUA